CGACAGUUGCUGAGGCUGUGAUGCAAACGCACGCAGGAAGCGUUGUGCAAGCAGGCUCUGGAGACCCGCAGGCUCCUGGGCAGAGGGCUGCCUUCUGUGUGGGCUUGCCCCUCGCCACACCUGGCCAGGAGCCUCCCCCAGCCCCGUGACCCUUGUGUCAGAGCCUGGCCAGAUGACAGACGGCCUGGGGUGCAGGCGAGACCCACUGAACUGGCAGCUGAGGACAGGUCCAGGCCCAGUGGCUGGGGGACUUCUCAGAGCAGGUACCACAACAGCUACCCAAGGACUCAGGACUUUUCUCCCACAGCCAGACUUGGUGAUUGCAUGAAGGAGCCCAGCCUCGGAUGACCUUUCCCCGUGACAAGGCACUAGGAGAGCACAGACCUCCCCACACAAACAUAACACACAAGAGCUCAGGUAACAAGAAGAGAACUGUACCCGGAUGAUGAACUGGAACAUCCACCCUCAUCUUCACCUCCUCCACCCCAGGCCAUGUGCUUCACAGUCACACAGGGGAGCUUCUGGAAUGGACAGUGUUCCUGGUGUUGACUAUAGCCGUGGGCCUCUGAGAAGCUGAAGCAGUGUUGGGCGGAGACAGCUUCAGGGUCACCAGGCCCAGCUAGAACUCCAGGCUGACCUCAGGGCAACGUCCAGCAUCAAGAUGAGCUCCUGGGGCAUGAGGCUACGCAAGGCCUGAGACCCCACAGAUGGAGGACGCUGGGCCACCUGGUGGGGCUCCUUCAGCAAGAGAGGAAAGCAGGCCAAGGCCAGAGGCAGCUGCUGUCUGAAGAUGGGAGGGAGGCGUGCAGGCCUGGCUCCAGCCCACGGUGCGCAGCAAACUCCAGCCUGCUAGACGCAGAUGCAAUUGGAGCCAAGUGCACCUUGAUACCUCCAAGAUGUGACCCCUUACCAGACCCUAAACAAACCUUGUUGACAGAGCCAGACCACCCCUAUUUGAAUCAGCUGCGUGGCCACGUGCCUGUCAUUCGGUCUCUCUGUCCCCAUUUCUACAAUGUAAAACAGGAAAGUGAAACCCAUGGGCCAGCGGCCGCAUGCAGGAAAGCUGGCACUGUCAGCCAUGGCUGUGGUGACUCCCUGGGCCUUAAGCGAGCAAAGAGCCCACACACCCAAAUUCAGCACCUUCUUUCCUGUUCUCCUUUGAAGGAAACACUCUUCAUAUAAAAAGACAGGAAAAGAAACUCGAGACUUUUUCUUCUUUUGGGAGGGUCUCCAAUUUAGAAUCAGCAUAUCAAUAUUCUCUCUAAACCAAUGCUUCUAUUAAGGCAGAGUAAAUGGGAAGAGAAAUUCCACGGCCUGCAUCUAGCUUGUCACUGCAAAGUGAUUCACACAAACACACACUCACACUUUCACACACACGUGCACCUCUGAUUGAAGCAUUGCUGCUGAACUGAUGAGACACCACUAUGUAACCUCUGUUUUUCAAUUAAGUGCAAAAAGCCAAUUCUUAAUCUAUGCCAUAAACUUAAGUACAAGUGUAGUUGAAAGCAAUGAUGCCACAAAAGACCAGGUCACAGACUGACUGGGGGCUGCGCUCAACUUGUAAGCCUCUUGCCUCACUCCUCUGGCAGCUACAAGUGCUAGAAAAUGUCAAAUCUGCAUUAUUCACUUGUUAAUACUGACCUGAGACACCCAACCUUGCGUGACCUUGAGCCAAACACAACUCUUAGGAUGUAACCUGCUUUACAAGAUGAGAAAGACACGAGUAAAAACAUCAGCAGACUCUGGAAGAGUCAGUAAACAAACAAGCUGUCCUUGGAGCAAGCAAGCGCUUCCCUUUCGGCAUCUCCCCCUCUCUGAGCGGCAGCCCUGCAAGUGAGGCCAAUAGCCGUCCCUCAGCUGUGUACAGGACAGGCAUUCUUGGACCUCAGAGUCCUGCAGUAGCAUUUUGAGGACGCCAAGUUAUUGAUGGGGACAGGUGCUCAUAAUUCAGCAUAACCCACCCAAGCCGUGUUUCACUUUUUCUGGAAACCUCUUGAUUUAGGAAUGAAAGCCCCUGGCUCCCCCUGGGCUGGGCUGGCCAGUAAACAUCUCAGUCUGAGUUUGCCGAGGUGGGUUGCUAAAUUUAAUUGCCAGUUUCCACACCAUGUGAUGGUGUGUGACAGGCCAGCUCACCCUGUGAGUUAGCCAAGGGGUUUUAAAUAAAUGCUUUCUGACGGAAAGGAUGAUAAAGGUUCCUAUUAUUCACCAGUGAGCCUGGAGACUGAGCUGGUCCGGUUUUUACGACUGAGGCACAGCAAUGUCAAUCUCAUGCUCUCUGUCACUACUUCCCACUGUGGCUUGACUAGGACAGCCUUAAGCGGCCUGCAGAAAGAGCUCCAGCCGGGUAGUCAGGAGACCUUUGCCAGCCCGAUCCGUCCAAGGUUUCUGUGACCUUGGAAGGCAAAUAGCUCUAUGGGCCAGCGUCAGCCUCUGCGUCUGCAGAGAGGAGUGCUUCACAGGUCAUGCUUGGGGCUUUCAGGAAGCAUGUAAUAGAUAUGCAAAGGCAUUGCUGUUGGUGAAACAUCCGUGGAACACCAGGCAACAAACCACUAAAAGCAGCAUUUUUCUUGCUCCGAUCCUUUAAAAUAUCGAUGGAGAUAAACUGAUGCUGCUAUUUGUGUUUUCCUUGACUAUUUCCUUACGAAGCCCUGCAGUCACCGAAUGCUCACUCAACCUUCCUUCAAAAGUGAUUCAACGUGUGGCCUGAGAAGCGGCAGCAUCAGCCUCACCUGGGCGUUGGUGAGAACGGCAGCAUCUUGGCCUCUCCUGCUGAAUCAGAGCGCGCUGCUUAACACGCUCCCGGGUGACUCGUACGUAGUCAGUGCUGGGAAGCGCUGGUCUACAGUCAUGUUUCUCAAGCUUGAAUGCACAUCCGAAUCCCCCGGAAGGUUUGCUAAAGCCUUGCUGGGCCCCACCCCCACGUUUCUGAUUCAGCAGGUGUGGGUCGGGGUCUGCGAACUUGCAUUUUUAGAAAGUUUUCUGGUGAUGGUGAUGCCUCUGGUCCAGGACCACACUUUGAGAACUUCUGGUCUUUCUUGAGCAGCUGUUUAGUGAUACCUUCAUUCCCACGUCACUAAGGGUGCAUAACGUCUCUUCGUUAUGUACUCUGGCUUCCUCAAUCCCUGGAAUUACUGUGGUAUCCUCGUGAUAUAUCUUCAUUUCUUCCUCUUUAAUCAUCCUUGAUCUCCCCCUUGAUUUCAAUAUGUGUUUAUCUCUCUUUCAUUAGGAAGCUCUAGACACAGAAAACCAGACAGCUCGGUGCUGUGCAAAAAUGGGAGGAUUUCAUGAAAAUCCUACUUUUUUCUCCCAUGUAGUUGUUUUAAAAUUCCACUUGUUUUUUGUUUGUUUGUUUGAGAUGGAGUCUCUCUCUGUCGCCCAGGCUGGAGUGCAGUGGCGCACUCUCCGCUCACUGCAACCUCCACAUCCCGGGUUCAAGCAACUCCCCUGCCUCAGCUUCCUGAGUAGCUGGGAUUACAAGCGCCCAGGCGAGCUGGUGGAUUCAACUGGGACUCAGAAGACUGCACUUGAGGAGAUCAUCGUGAGUUGAAGAUCUCUUGCUUAGUCUCGCAGAAACUUCAUCAAGUCUAGCUCACCUGGGAGUCAGUUGGUGCCGGCGAAUCAAUUCGUGCCAGUGAAAUUCACCAAGAGCCUGAUUUACAAACUAGAGAGCCAUGGCCUUAAUUUUAGAGCAAAAGACAAACUUUUCCAAUGAAUAUAGUUUUCUUGUCCAAUAGCUAGGACACCCCCCUCCACCUGCUGUGUACUAAUGAAGCAGAUUUUUUUUUUUGAGUUUUGCUCUUGUUGCCCGGCUGGAGUGCAAUGACACCAUCUUGGCUCACCACAACCUCCACCUCCGGUUUCAAGUGAUUCUCCUGCCUCAGCCUCCCAAGUAGCUGGGAUU
Molecule: long non-coding RNA, 3901 nt
Filed under: Homo sapiens (human)
Lineage: Eukaryota; Metazoa; Chordata; Mammalia; Primates; Hominidae
Description: non-protein coding lnc-RREB1-9:1
Source: RNAcentral